RNAcentral lists this transfer RNA (72 nucleotides) under Nicotiana attenuata. It matches the Rfam family "tRNA". From Rfam's summary of the family: Transfer RNA (tRNA) molecules are approximately 80 nucleotides in length. Their secondary structure includes four short double-helical elements and three loops (D, anti-codon, and T loops). The record is from Rfam by way of RNAcentral. Lineage: Eukaryota; Viridiplantae; Streptophyta; Magnoliopsida; Solanales; Solanaceae.
GCGGAUGUAGCCAAGUGGAUCAAGGCAGUGGAUGUGAAUCACCACGCGCGGUUUCAAUUCCCGUCGUUCGCC